GAUGAACGCUGGCGGCGUGCCUAAUACAUGCAAGUCGAGCGAACAGAUGAGGGGCUUGCUCCUCUGACGUUAGCGGCGGACGGGUGAGUAACACGUGGAUAACCUACCUAUAAGACUGGGAUAACUUCGGGAAACCGGAGCUAAUACCGGAUAAUAUAUUGAACCGCAUGGUGCAAUAGUGAAAGACGGUUUUGCUGUCACUUAUAGAUGGAUACGCGCCGCAUUAGCUAGUUGGUAAGGUAACGGCUUACCACGGCAACGAUGCGUUGCCGACGGGAGAGGGGGGUAGCCCACACUGGAACGGGACCGGGGACAAUGGUACUGAGAGAGGCAGCAGUAGGGAAUCGUCCGCAAUGGGCGGGAGCCUGGCGGAGCGGCGGGGAGUGAGUGGUGGAGGUCUUCGGAUCGUAAUGCUCUGUUAUGGGGGAUGAACAAAUGUGUAAGUAACUAUGCACGUCUUGACGGUACCUGGUCAGGAAGCCACGGCUAACUACGUG
Molecule: ribosomal RNA, 497 nt
Filed under: uncultured bacterium
Lineage: Bacteria
Description: partial 16S ribosomal RNA
Rfam family: Bacterial small subunit ribosomal RNA
Source: RNAcentral